RNAcentral lists this long non-coding RNA (231 nucleotides) under Coffea arabica (coffee). Its description in RNAcentral is "long non-coding RNA (CARA_LNC006722)". The record is from RNAcentral. Lineage: Eukaryota; Viridiplantae; Streptophyta; Magnoliopsida; Gentianales; Rubiaceae.
AAGAACUCAACAUCAAUGAAGAACUAUUCUUCAUCAGUUUUCUUUUUGAUUCUGCUGGUUAGUAUGUUCUUGAAUGUUGCCCAUUGCCGAGUCCUUCGACCCACGGAUAGCGUGGAUGCUGCAAGCGAUCAACAAAUUGAAGGGGCUGGUUCAAAAGGCAUGACUACUUUUGCUGUUUCCUCCAACAAUUCCAGUAGGGGUAGUAGUACUAUGGAAACAGUGAGAAGUUCG